RNAcentral lists this ribosomal RNA (424 nucleotides) under uncultured Soonwooa sp. RNAcentral's name for it is "bacterial SSU rRNA". It matches the Rfam family "Bacterial small subunit ribosomal RNA", at positions 355 to 776 of the family's 1533-position model. Lineage: Bacteria; Pseudomonadati; Bacteroidota; Flavobacteriia; Flavobacteriales; Weeksellaceae. The record is from RNAcentral.
UGAGGAAUAUUGGACAAUGGGUUAGCGCCUGAUCCAGCCAUCCCGCGUGAAGGACGACGGUUCUAUGGAUUGUAAACUUCUUUUAUAUAGGGAUAAACCUACUCUCGUGAGAGUAGCUGAAGGUACUAUAUGAAUAAGCACCGGCUAACUCCGUGCCAGCAGCCGCGGUAAUACGGAGGGUGCAAGCGUUAUCCGGAUUUAUUGGGUUUAAAGGGUCCGUAGGCGGGCUUGUAAGUCAGUGGUGAAAUCCGGCAGCUCAACUGUCGAACUGCCAUUGAUACUGCAAGUCUUGAGUAAAGUAGAAGUGGCUGGAAUAAGUAGUGUAGCGGUGAAAUGCAUAGAUAUUACUUAGAACACCAAUUGCGAAGGCAGGUCACUAUGUUUUAACUGACGCUGAUGGACGAAAGCGUGGGUAGCGAACAGG